UUACAUAUCACAGAUGCAUAGAUCAAUACUCAAUCACUGGAUCCAUACCAUGCCCAUGUCGGUCAGCACUGUCCUUAUGAACAUCAGUAUCUGCCCAUGUUCCCAUGUCAGUCAACACUGUCCUUAU
Haliotis rubra (blacklip abalone) is the source of this 127-nucleotide long non-coding RNA. RefSeq lists it as uncharacterized. Lineage: Eukaryota; Metazoa; Mollusca; Gastropoda; Lepetellida; Haliotidae. The transcript is spliced from 3 exons. The record is from RefSeq and is a predicted model, not a curated record.